RNAcentral lists this unclassified non-coding RNA (226 nucleotides) under Homo sapiens (human). RNAcentral's name for it is "novel transcript (ENSG00000262640.1)". Lineage: Eukaryota; Metazoa; Chordata; Mammalia; Primates; Hominidae. The record is from RNAcentral.
AGUGCGCAGGGAGACUAGCACAGGCCGGCAGAGAAGUGACCCAGCCCCGGAUUGCCUGGUAACCUUCCGUUCCCAGGAGGCUGCUGUGAGGCUCCUCUGGAAGUGAGAGUUCAGAGAGCAGAGACAACCGUCCAGAGCUAGACCUUGAAGACUCCUCAACGCUGAAGGUCACCGAGAGGAGGGACAGCCAAGGAAACUGAGUCGCAGCAGCCGUGGAGGCAGGCGG